Vespa mandarinia (Asian giant hornet) is the source of this 321-nucleotide long non-coding RNA. Lineage: Eukaryota; Metazoa; Arthropoda; Insecta; Hymenoptera; Vespidae. The record is from RefSeq and is a predicted model, not a curated record.
GUUACUACCGCUGCUGCUGCUGCUGUUGCUGCUGCUGCUGCUGCUGCUGCUGCUACUACUGCUGCCGCUGCUCGUGUUAGCUGCUGUUGUUUGCUGUUGAUCUUCGCGCGUCGUUUUUGAUUACCACGCGCGACGACGGUGUGUUCGCGUUGCAACUCCCCCUCUUCCAAUAGGGAAGGCCGCUCUUUGCAUUUUUUCCUCGCGGGAAAUUCGAAGGCUCCUGUAAGGAUUGAGUUACGAUAAGGACGAAAGAAAAAUAAGAAGAAAGAAAGAAGAAGGAAACAAAACAAAAAAAAAAAAAGAAAAAAAGAAUAAAUAAAU